This 448-nucleotide ribosomal RNA is filed under the name uncultured bacterium. RNAcentral describes it as "SSU rRNA". It matches the Rfam family "Bacterial small subunit ribosomal RNA", at positions 26 to 518 of the family's 1533-position model. The record is from RNAcentral.
AGAACGAACGCUGGCGGCGCGCCUAACACAUGCAAGUCGAGCGCCUCACUUUCGGGUGGGGAGCGGCGCACGGGUGAGUAACGCGUGGGAAUCUACCCUGGGGUUCGGGACAACGGCGGGAAACUGCCGCUAACACCGGAUACGGCCGUGAGGCGAAAGUUUACGCCCUGGGAUGAGCCCGCGUCCGAUUAGCUAGUUGGUGGGGUAACGGCCCACCAAGGCUGCGAUCGGUAGCCGGUCUGAGAGGAUGAUCGGCCACACUGGGACUGAGACACGGCCCAGACUCCUACGGGAGGCAGCAGUGGGGAAUCUUGGACAAUGGGGGCAACCCUGAUCCAGCGACGCCGCGUGGGUGAUGAAGGCCUUCGGGUUGUAAAGCCCUUUUGUCGGGGACGAUGAUGACGGUACCCGGCGAAUAAGCACCGGCUAACUCCGUGCCAGCAGCCGC